UACAGAGGUCUCAAGCGUUGUUCGGAUUCAUUGGGCGUAAAGGGUGCGUAGGCGGCGCGGUAAGUCGGGUGUGAAAUCUCGGAGCUUAACUCCGAAACUGCAUUCGAUACUGCCGUGCUUGAGGACUGGAGAGGAGACUGGAAUUCCCGGUGUAGAGGUGAAAUUCGUAGAUAUCGGGAGGAACACCAGUGGCGAAGGCGGCUCUCUGGGCAGGAACUGACACUGAGACGCGAAAGCGUGGGGAGCAAACAGG
RNAcentral lists this ribosomal RNA (253 nucleotides) under uncultured bacterium. RNAcentral's name for it is "partial 16S ribosomal RNA". It matches the Rfam family "Bacterial small subunit ribosomal RNA", at positions 524 to 776 of the family's 1533-position model. The record is from RNAcentral.